GCUGGUCGCGGUGGUGCACGCCUGUAGUCCCAGCUACUCGGGAGGCUGAGACAGGAGGCUCGCUUGAGUCCAGGAGUUCUGGGCUGUAGUGCACUAUGCCUAUCGGGUGUCCGCACUAAAUUUGGCAUCAAUAUGAUGACCUCUAGAGAACGGGCAACCACCAGGUUGCCUAAGGAGGAGGAGUUCUAUACCAUGCAUUGUCUGUGCUAAAUUUCCUCAUGUAUGAUGCUACAGGAAAAUCAGCUGCGGAUCGCCUCUGGCAUCCACCAAUGGCUCAAAAUUAUGCUCAAGCCUUAU
Molecule: unclassified non-coding RNA, 297 nt
Organism: Cricetulus griseus (Chinese hamster)
Lineage: Eukaryota; Metazoa; Chordata; Mammalia; Rodentia; Cricetidae
Rfam family: Metazoan signal recognition particle RNA
About the family: The signal recognition particle (SRP) is a universally conserved ribonucleoprotein.
Source: Ensembl